Molecule: ribosomal RNA, 484 nt
Filed under: uncultured bacterium
Lineage: Bacteria
Description: partial 16S ribosomal RNA
Rfam family: Bacterial small subunit ribosomal RNA
Source: RNAcentral
AUUGAACGCUGGCGGCAGGCCUAACGCAUGCAAGUCGAGCGGAUGAAGGGAGCUUGCUCCUGGAUUCAGCGGCGGACGGGUGAGUAAUGCCUAGGAAUCUGCCUGGUAGUGGGGGAUAACGUCCGGAAACGGGCGCUAAUACCGCAUACGUCCUGAGGGAGAAAGUGGGGGAUCUUCGGACCUCACGCUAUCAGAUGAGCCUAGGUCGGAUUAGCUAGUUGGUGGGGUAAAGGCCUACCAAGGCGACGAUCCGUAACUGGUCUGAGAGGAUGAGCAGUCACACUGGAACUGAGACACGGUCCAGACUCCUACGGGAGGCAGCAGUGGGGAAUAUUGGACAAUGGGCGAAAGCCUGAUCCAGCCAUGCCGCGUGUGUGAAGAAGGUCUUCGGAUUGUAAAGCACUUUAAGUUGGGAGGAAGGGCAGUAAGUUAAUACCUUGCUGUUUUGACGUUACCAACAGAAUAAGCACCGGCUAACUUCGUG